GACGAACGCUGGCGGCGUGCUUAACACAUGCAAGUCGGGCGAUGAAGCACCUUCGGGUGUGAAUUAGCGGCGAACGGGUGAGGAACACGUGAGAAAUCUGCCUUCAACUCUGGGAUAACUCCGUGAAAACGGGGCUAAUACCGGAUAUGAGAUCUACAGGCAUCUGUGGAUCUGGAAAGUUUUUCGGUUGAAGAUGAUCUCGCGGCCUAUCAGCUUGUUGGUGAGGUAAUGGCUCACCAAGGCGACGACGGGUAGCCGGCCUGAGAGGGCGACCGGCCACACUGGGACUGAGACACGGCCCAGACUCCUACGGGAGGCAGCAGUGGGGAAUAUUGGGCAAUGGAGGAAACUCUGACCCAGCGACGCCGCGUGCGGGAUGAAGGCCUUCGGGUUGUAAACCGCUUUCAGCAGGGAAGAAGCGAAAGUGACGGUACCUGCAGAAGAAGCACCGGCUAACUAUGUGCC
This 465-nucleotide ribosomal RNA is filed under the name uncultured actinomycete. RNAcentral describes it as "bacterial SSU rRNA". It matches the Rfam family "Bacterial small subunit ribosomal RNA", at positions 28 to 509 of the family's 1533-position model. The record is from RNAcentral. Lineage: Bacteria; Bacillati; Actinomycetota; Actinomycetes; Actinomycetales.